GACAGAGGUGCCGAGCGUUAGGCGGAAUCACUGGGCGUAAAGCGCGUGUAGGCGGAUCGGCAAGUCUGCUGUGAAAGCUCCUGGCUUAACCGGGAGUGGUCGGUGGAAACUGCCAGUCUGGAGGACGGUAGAGGUAGGUAGAAUUCCCGGUGUAGUGGUGAAAUGCGUAGAGAUCGGGAGGAAUACCUGUGGCGAAGGCGGCCUACUGGGCCGGACCUGACGCUGAGACGCGAAGGCGUAGGGAGCGAACGGG
RNAcentral lists this ribosomal RNA (253 nucleotides) under uncultured bacterium. Its description in RNAcentral is "partial 16S ribosomal RNA". It matches the Rfam family "Bacterial small subunit ribosomal RNA", at positions 524 to 776 of the family's 1533-position model. The record is from RNAcentral.